This 403-nucleotide long non-coding RNA is filed under the name Calidris pugnax (ruff). Its description in RNAcentral is "lncRNA (ENSCPUG00000007315.1)". Lineage: Eukaryota; Metazoa; Chordata; Aves; Charadriiformes; Scolopacidae. The record is from RNAcentral.
GUGCCAGGGAUGCAGUAGCCUCACCAAGCAACAGUGGUCUCCUUCAGCUCCUCAGAACAGCACUUCUUGGAAGCAGUGCCAGCUCCUGCCUACCUUUUUUGAAGAGUGCCUGGUCUGUCAGCUGAAAGGAGACACUGAAAUGGAUGCUGAAAGCACCUGAGGAGCUGGGGAGGAGCUGAAGGAUCACUUCACCACUCUCAUCCUUUCGUCAAGCAACAGUCAGUUUUCUGUAUACAAUGCAUGCAGGAUGGAGAAGGACAUGGGAUAGGAUUGACGUUUAGCACGUGUAGCUGGUGAAAAAAAUUGUGAAGGAAAUGCAGUACUCAGAGUCACAGGAUACCAGCAGGAACCAGGCAUCUGCAAUGGUGAUGAGGAAUUACAAAAGAGCAUUUCUGCGUAGGGA